This 529-nucleotide ribosomal RNA is filed under the name Lactiplantibacillus plantarum. Its description in RNAcentral is "bacterial SSU rRNA". It matches the Rfam family "Bacterial small subunit ribosomal RNA", at positions 846 to 1376 of the family's 1533-position model. The record is from RNAcentral. Lineage: Bacteria; Bacillati; Bacillota; Bacilli; Lactobacillales; Lactobacillaceae.
CUGCAGCUAACGCAUUAAGCAUUCCGCCUGGGGAGUACGGCCGCAAGGCUGAAACUCAAAGGAAUUGACGGGGGCCCGCACAAGCGGUGGAGCAUGUGGUUUAAUUCGAAGCUACGCGAAGAACCUUACCAGGUCUUGACAUACUAUGCAAAUCUAAGAGAUUAGACGUUCCCUUCGGGGACAUGGAUACAGGUGGUGCAUGGUUGUCGUCAGCUCGUGUCGUGAGAUGUUGGGUUAAGUCCCGCAACGAGCGCAACCCUUAUUAUCAGUUGCCAGCAUUAAGUUGGGCACUCUGGUGAGACUGCCGGUGACAAACCGGAGGAAGGUGGGGAUGACGUCAAAUCAUCAUGCCCCUUAUGACCUGGGCUACACACGUGCUACAAUGGAUGGUACAACGAGUUGCGAACUCGCGAGAGUAAGCUAAUCUCUUAAAGCCAUUCUCAGUUCGGAUUGUAGGCUGCAACUCGCCUACAUGAAGUCGGAAUCGCUAGUAAUCGCGGAUCAGCAUGCCGCGGUGAAUACGUUCCCG